RNAcentral lists this long non-coding RNA (288 nucleotides) under Homo sapiens (human). RNAcentral describes it as "HSALNT0051459". The record is from RNAcentral. Lineage: Eukaryota; Metazoa; Chordata; Mammalia; Primates; Hominidae.
UCUGAUGUUUUUUGCUCCUUCCUGGUUCUCCUCUGGGACCCAGCAGAGGAGGUUGCCAGGUAAUGAACCUCUGAUCCAGAUAGCUGGUGCUGCACAUGGCACUGCUGGAAUAGUCUUUCUUGAAGACAGUGAAGGAGUGGAUUAUCUAUGAAGGUGGAAGAGAGGAAAGUUGUGGCCAUCAUUUACCUGCUGAGAUUGGAAGAACGCUGUUGAUGAAAGUCGGCUGAGACACGAUAGAGAGGAAGAAAAGCUGAAGAUAAAUUCCCAAAGUCAUUGGAUUCAGGACAA